This is a transfer RNA of Prochlorothrix hollandica, 85 nucleotides long. It matches the Rfam family "tRNA". From Rfam's summary of the family: Transfer RNA (tRNA) molecules are approximately 80 nucleotides in length. Their secondary structure includes four short double-helical elements and three loops (D, anti-codon, and T loops). The record is from Rfam. Lineage: Bacteria; Bacillati; Cyanobacteriota; Cyanophyceae; Prochlorotrichales; Prochlorotrichaceae.
GGAGAGGUGGCAGAGUGGUCGAUUGCGUCCGACUUGAAAUCGGAUGUGCCGAAAGGUACCGUGGGUUCAAAUCCCACCCUCUCCG